GUGCACGCUGGCGGUCGGCCUAACACAUGCAAGUCGCACGGCAGCACAGUAAGAGCUUGCUCUUACGGGUGGCGAGUGGCGGACGGGUGAGGAAUACAUCGGAAUCUACUUUUUCGUGGGGGAUAACGUAGGGAAACUUACGCUAAUACCGCAUACGACCUACGGGUGAAAGCAGGGGAUCUUCGGACCUUGCGCGAUUGAAUGAGCCGAUGUCGGAUUAGCUAGUUGGCGGGGUAAAGGCCCACCAAGGCGACGAUCCGUAGCUGGUCUGAGAGGAUGAUCAGCCACACUGGAACUGAGACACGGUCCAGACUCCUACGGGAGGCAGCAGUGGGGAAUAUUGGACAAUGGGCGCAAGCCUGAUCCAGCCAUACCGCGUGGGUGAAGAAGGCCUUCGGGUUGUAAAGCCCUUUUGUUGGGAAAGAAAAGCAGCAGGCUAAUACCCCGCUGUUCUGACGGUACCCAAAGAAUAAGCACCGGCUAACUUCGUG
RNAcentral lists this ribosomal RNA (491 nucleotides) under uncultured bacterium. RNAcentral's name for it is "partial 16S ribosomal RNA". It matches the Rfam family "Bacterial small subunit ribosomal RNA", at positions 29 to 507 of the family's 1533-position model. The record is from RNAcentral.